UUGAUGAAAACUGGACAUGGCUAGCAUUUUUCAAAGAUGCAGCAGCCACUGUUUACCUUAGCUUGAGUCGGAUGGAAGCUAAGUCACCUUUGAAAUAAAUUACUGACAGCUUCAUUACAGAUUGCCCUAAAAUUUAAAAAUUUUUAUAGAAAGGAUUCUCCUCCCUAAGCGAGCCAGCCUGUAACACCAGGCAAGGGUUUUAAACCAGAACUUCUCUUUUCUGUUUUCUUUUUGGAAAGAGGAAGCAACAUUCCCAGUUUGCUUUCUUUGCAGACAAGGGCACAGAUACGUUAAAUUUAGCCUGUGAGAGGGUUUACAGGGGUAUUCCUCAUGGGAGCCUAGAUACCUUAUUUUUAUCUCAUCCAACUGCCUCCUUUUUUCUUUUUCCUCACUGCGGUAUUGCAACAAAAGCUAUUUCCUUCUUAACUAGGAAUUCCCUAUGAGACAGUGACAUCUGUCCCUAAAGGGUGGUCUGGGUGGUACAGGGUUUUUCCUCCCUGAUCUUGCGUUUUGUUAGGGCUCGGCUGAACUAUUAAAUUUGCCUUAACUCUCUGCGGGCUGCCAUGCUGAUUAUUACAUUUUUAAGAGUAAGAUAAUACUGAUUUGACCUUCAGAAAUACAGAGGUUGGAUGCGGAUUUUCUAACUCAAAACUAACUCUCUUUCUUACAUUUAGUGCCAGGAACAAAACAAAAACAAAACAUAAACACCAUUAACAUUGGUUGAACUAAGCUAAUCAAUUACCAAACUGUAGAAUGCUGCCCUUCGGCCUUCAAGGAGGAAUUCCUACUGUUUAUGAAGAUCGGGUUUGGGUUUUUGGUUUUUUUUUUCUUUUUCUUUUUUCCGUGGUGGUGGUGGGUGGGCUUUUGUUCUUUUUGUUUUUUCUGUGGUGGUGGUGGGUGGGCUUUUGUUCUUUGAAAUUUUUUUUGCUACAUCACAGUCCAGACAUAGUUUAAUGACAAUUUGUGGGGAACAAUUAUUUAUAAAUAAAACCAUUUUAUAGGUAGUUUCCUUCCACUGCAAGAAGUGAGGUCAUUAGUUUUGCAGGAAAUCCUGGGCAGAAAUCUCCCCCGUUUAUGCCUUUGUGCCUUAAGUUACAACAUUGGGAAGAUUCUGACCUGGGAGAAUUAGGAGCCUUAUGCGCUGCCAUAUUCUCCAAAGAAUCGUGAGAUAAAUCACUGCUUUAGCUCCCUAAUGCGUGUACGUUUAGUGAAAGCACAAGAAAACAAUUAUCCAUCCCUCCUGUCUCCGACCAGAGUCUCCAGAGAGCUGUGUUAAUACUGCAGCAAAGGUGUGGGAUUCUUCCCCCAUGGCCUGCAGUCUCAGUGGAUGUUCCAAUUUAGCCAGAGAGGCGACCUAAGAAUUGCCGGGAGGAUGGAUGGCGCGCGAAUUGUUGCUUUUGCUCUUGGCUGAUUGUUUAGGAAUGUAGAGAGACUGUGUGGGGUUUGUGUGACGUUGCGGUGCCUUGCAGAUUAGGUGAGCUUUCAAUCUCUCUUUAAAAGGGGCGGCGAAGAGGACCCGCAGGCUGCAAGGAGCAACAGCGAUGGUGAGAAGGCAACCAAAGUGCAGGACAUCAAAAACAACCUGAAAGAGGCGAUUGAAACCAUUGUGGCCGCCAUGAGCAACCUGGUGCCCCCCGUGGAGCUGGCCAACCCCGAGAACCAGUUCAGAGUGGACUACAUUCUGAGUGUGAUGAACGUGCCUGACUUUGACUUCCCUCCCGAAUUCUAUGAGCAUGCCAAGGCUCUGUGGGAGGAUGAAGGAGUGCGUGCCUGCUAUGAACGCUCCAACGAGUACCAGCUGAUUGACUGUGCCCAGUACUUCCUGGACAAGAUCGACGUGAUCAAGCAGGCUGACUACGUGCCGAGCGAUCAGGACCUGCUUCGCUGCCGUGUCCUGACUUCUGGAAUCUUUGAGACCAAGUUCCAGGUGGACAAAGUCAACUUCCACAUGUUUGACGUGGGUGGCCAGCGCGAUGAACGCCGCAAGUGGAUCCAGUGCUUCAACGAUGUGACUGCCAUCAUCUUCGUGGUGGCCAGCAGCAGCUACAACAUGGUCAUCCGGGAGGACAACCAGACCAACCGCCUGCAGGAGGCUCUGAACCUCUUCAAGAGCAUCUGGAACAACAGAUGGCUGCGCACCAUCUCUGUGAUUCUGUUCCUCAACAAGCAAGAUCUGCUCGCUGAGAAAGUCCUUGCUGGGAAAUCGAAGAUUGAGGACUACUUUCCAGAAUUUGCUCGCUACACUACUCCUGAGGAUGCUACUCCCGAGCCCGGAGAGGACCCACGCGUGACCCGGGCCAAGUACUUCAUUCGAGAUGAGUUUCUGAGGAUCAGCACUGCCAGUGGAGAUGGGCGUCACUACUGCUACCCUCAUUUCACCUGCGCUGUGGACACUGAGAACAUCCGCCGUGUGUUCAACGACUGCCGUGACAUCAUUCAGCGCAUGCACCUUCGUCAGUACGAGCUGCUCUAAGAAGGGAACCCCCAAAUUUAAUUAAAGCCUUAAGCACAAUUAAUUAAAAGUGAAACGUAAUUGUACAAGCAGUUAAUCACCCACCAUAGGGCAUGAUUAACAAAGCAACCUUUCCCUUCCCCCGAGUGAUUUUGCGAAACCCCCUUUUCCCUUCAGCUUGCUUAGAUGUUCCAAAUUUAGAAAGCUUAAGGCGGCCUACAGAAAAAGGAAAAAAGGCCACAAAAGUUCCCUCUCACUUUCAGUAAAAAUAAAUAAAAUAACAGCAGCAAACAAAUAAAAUGAAAUAAAAGAAACAAAUGAAAUAAAUAUUGUGUUGUGCAGCAUUAAAAAAAAUCAAAAUAAAAAUUAAAUGUGAGCAAAGAA
This 2836-nucleotide small RNA is filed under the name Pan troglodytes (chimpanzee). RNAcentral describes it as "retained intron". Lineage: Eukaryota; Metazoa; Chordata; Mammalia; Primates; Hominidae. The record is from RNAcentral.